GAUUAAAUUGCUAAGGGCACACGGUGGAUGCCUUGGCACUAGAAGCUGACGAAGGACGCGACAAACAGCGAUAUGCCUCGGGGAGCAGUAAGUAUGCUUUGAUCCGGGGAUUUCCGAAUGAGGGAACUCACCUAUGGUAAUGCGUAGGUACUGCAUAGUGAAUACAUAGCUAUGUAGAAGCAACCCAGUGAACUGAAACAUCUUAGUAGCUGGAGGAAAAGAAAGAAAAAUCGAUUUCCUUAGUAGUGGCGAGCGAAAAGGAAAGAGCCCAAACCAAUCUUCGGAUUGGGGUUGUAGGACCCGACAUUAAGAGUUACAAAUUUAUUACAUAGCUGAACCAGAUGGGAAGCUGGACAACAUAAGGUGAUAGUCCUGUAAGCGAAAUGUAAUAAGCUCUGUUGGGUAUCCUGAGUACGGCGAGACACGUGGAAUCUUGUCGGAAUCCGCGGGGACCAUCCCGCAAGGCUAAAUACUCUCUAGUGACCGAUAGUGAACAAGUACCGUGAGGGAAAGGUGAAAAGAACCCCGGGAGGGGAGUGAAAUAGAACACUGAAACCGUGUGCCUACAAGAAGUCAAAGCCCGUUAAUGGGUGAUGGCGUGCCUUUUGCAGAAUGAACCGGCGAGUUAUUGUAUCAUGCAAGGUUAAGGUGAAGAGCCGGAGCCGAAGCGAAAGCGAGUCUGAAUAGGGCGCUUUAGUAUGAUGCAAUAGACCCGAAACCGAGUGAUCUAGCCAUGAGCAGGUUGAAGUUUGGGUAAAACCAAAUGGAGGACCGAACCGACUUACUAGGAAACGUGAGCGGAUGACUUGUGGCUAGCGGUGAAAUUCCAAUCGAACUCGGAUAUAGCUGGUUCUCCCCGAAAUAGGUUUAGGCCUAGCGUUGAAAUUAGCGCCUUGGAGGUAGAGCACUGAAUAUACAAUGGCGGCGUCUAGCUGUACUGAGUGUAAUCAAACUCCGAAUGCCAAGGUUAGCAUGUUCAGCAGUCAGUGUAUGGGUGAUAACGUCCAUACGCAAAAGGAAAAGAAUCCAGAUCGCCAGCUAAGGUCCCAAAAUAUAUGCUAAGUGGGAAAGGAUGUGGAGUUGUCAAAACAGCUAGGAGGUUGGCUUAGAAGCAGCCAUCCUUUAAAGAGUGCGUAAUAGCUCACUAGUCGAGUGACACUGCGCCGAAGAUGUACCGGGGCUAAGCAUAUUACCGAAGCUGCGAAUUUGUACUUUUAGUACAAGUGGUAGGGGAGCGUUCUAAUUGCGGUGAAGGUCGAUCGUGAGGACGGCUGGAGUGGUUAGAAGUGAGAAUGCCGGUAUGAGUAGCGCAAUGGAGGUGAGAAUCCUCCACACCGUUUGCCUAAGGGUUUCUGGGGAAGGUUCGUCCUCCCAGAGUAAGUCAGGACCUAAGGCGAGGCCGAAAGGCGUAGUCGAUGGACAAUUGGUUGAUAUUCCAAUACCACCUAUAUAACUGAUGGAAUGACGGAGAAGGCUAGGAUGAGCUGAUUAUUGGAUUUCAGUCUAAGCACAAAGGUUAGUAUAUUGGCAAAUCCGUAUACGAUCUAACUGAAGUGUGAUGGUGAAGGGAGUCUUCGGACAAACGAAAUCAUUUGACGCCAUGCUUCCAAGAAAAGUUUCUAGGGUUAAUUAUAUAGGUGCCUGUACCAAGAACCGACACAGGUGGGCAAGGAGAGUAUCCUAAGGUGAGCGAGAGAACUAUGGUUAAGGAACUCGGCAAAAUGACCCCGUAACUUCGGGAUAAGGGGUGGUCAAGCGAUUGACCCGCAGUGAAUAGGCCCAGGCGACUGUUUACCAAAAACACAGGUCUCUGCUAAGUCGUAAGACGAUGUAUAGGGGCUGACGCCUGCCCAGUGCUGGAAGGUUAAGAGGAGAGCUUAGUAUGACGCUUGUCGAUAAUACGAAGGUUCGAAUUGAAGCCCCAGUGAACGGCGGCCGUAACUAUAACGGUCCUAAGGUAGCGAAAUUCCUUGUCAGGUAAGUUCUGACCCGCACGAAAGGUGUAACGAUCUGGGCACUGUCUCGACCAUAGACUCGGUGAAAUUUUAAUACCUGUGAAAAUGCAGGUUACCCGCGACAGGACGGAAAGACCCCGUGGAGCUUUACUGCAGCUUGAUAUUGGGAUCUGGUUCAUUUUGUAGAGGAUAGGUGGGAGACGUUGAUACUAGGACGCUAGUUCUAGUGGAGUCAACCUUGGAAUACCACCCUUGAUGAAUUGGAUUUCUAACUUGGUACCAUGAAUCUGGUAUGAGGACAGGGUUGGGCUGUUCGCCCAUUAAAGUGGCACGCGAGCUGGGUUCAGAACGUCGUGAGACAGUUCGGUCCCUAUCCGUCGUGGGCGUAGGAAAAUUGAGGAGAGCUGUUCCUAGUACGAGAGGACCGGAACGGACAUACCUCUGGUGUAUCUGUUGUCACGCCAGUGGCAGUGCAGAGUAGCUAUGUAUGGAAUGGAUAACCGCUGAAAGCAUCUAAGCGGGAAGCCAACUUCAAGAUGAGUUUUCCCAUAUUUUAUAUAGUAAGUUCCCUCAAAGACGAUGAGGUUGAUAGGUUAGAGGUGUAAGCAUGGCGACAUGUUGAGCUGACUAAUACUAAUAGAACGAGGAUUUAAUCAU
RNAcentral lists this ribosomal RNA (2612 nucleotides) under Acholeplasma sp. RNAcentral describes it as "23S ribosomal RNA". It matches the Rfam family "Bacterial large subunit ribosomal RNA". The record is from RNAcentral. Lineage: Bacteria; Bacillati; Mycoplasmatota; Mollicutes; Acholeplasmatales; Acholeplasmataceae.